CGAGUACUCCCUCCGUUCGAAAUUACUUGUUGCAAAAAUGAAUAAAAAUGGAUGUAUCUAGAANUAAAAUACAUCUAGAUACAUCCAUCUUUUCGACAAGUAAUUCCAGACGGAGGGAGUACCUA
This is a non-coding RNA of Hordeum vulgare subsp. vulgare (domesticated barley), 125 nucleotides long. Lineage: Eukaryota; Viridiplantae; Streptophyta; Magnoliopsida; Poales; Poaceae. The record is from Rfam.